This 74-nucleotide transfer RNA is filed under the name Waddliaceae bacterium. Its description in RNAcentral is "tRNA-Arg". It matches the Rfam family "tRNA". Rfam says of the family: Transfer RNA (tRNA) molecules are approximately 80 nucleotides in length. Their secondary structure includes four short double-helical elements and three loops (D, anti-codon, and T loops). Further hydrogen bonds mediate the characteristic L-shaped molecular structure. tRNAs have two regions of fundamental functional importance: the anti-codon, which is responsible for specific mRNA codon recognition, and the 3' end, to which the tRNAs corresponding amino acid is attached (by aminoacyl-tRNA synthetases). tRNAs cope with the degeneracy of the genetic code in two manners: having more than one tRNA (with a specific anti-codon) for a particular amino acid; and 'wobble' base-pairing, i.e. permitting non-standard base-pairing at the 3rd anti-codon position. The record is from RNAcentral. Lineage: Bacteria; Pseudomonadati; Chlamydiota; Chlamydiia; Parachlamydiales; Waddliaceae.
GUCCUCGUAGCUCAGCUGGAUAGAGCGAUUGCCUCCUAAGCAAUAGGCCGCGCGUUCGAAUCGCGCCGAGGACA